RNAcentral lists this ribosomal RNA (442 nucleotides) under uncultured bacterium. Its description in RNAcentral is "partial 16S ribosomal RNA". It matches the Rfam family "Bacterial small subunit ribosomal RNA", at positions 338 to 795 of the family's 1533-position model. The record is from RNAcentral.
CCUACGGGUGGCAGCAGUGAGGAAUAUUGGUCAAUGGACGCAAGUCUGAACCAGCCAUGCCGCGUGAAGGAAGAAGGCUUUCGGGUUGUAAACUUCUUUUGACAGGGAAGAGCAGAAGACGGUACCUGUCGAAUAAGCCACGGCUAACUACGUGCCAGCAGCCGCGGUAAAACGUAGGUGGCAAGCGUUGUCCGGAUUUACUGGGUGUAAAGGGCGUGUAGCCGGGCUGACAAGGCAUAUGUUAAAUCCGGGGGCUCAACCCCCGAAGUGCAUUUGAAACUGUUGGUCUUGAGUAUCAGAGAGGCAGGCGGAAUUACUAGUGUAGCGGUGAAAUGCGUAGAUAUUAGGAGGAACACCAGUGGCGAAGGCGGCCUGCUGGGCGACAACUGACGGUGAGGCGCGAAAGCGUGGGGAGCAAACAGGAUUAGAUACCCCGGUAGUC